UGGGGUAUCUUGCACAAUGGGGGAAACCCUGAUGCAGCGACGCCGCGUGAGCGAUGAAGGUUUUCGAAUCGUAAAGCUCUGUCCUAUGGGAAGAUAAUGACGGUACCAUAGGAGGAAGCCCCGGCUAACUACGUGCCAGCAGCCGCGGUAAUACGUAGGGGGCGAGCGUUGUCCGGAAUUACUGGGCGUAAAGGGUUCGCAGGCGGCAUGACAAGUCCGAUGUAAAAGGCGAAAGCUCAACUUUCGUAAGCAUCGGAAACUGUCAAGCUUGAGUGAAGGAGAGGCAAGUGGAAUUCCUAGUGUAGCGGUGGAAUGCAUAGAUAUUAGGAGGAAUACCGGUGGCGAAGGCGACUUGCUGGACUUCAACUGACGCUGAGGAACGAAAGCGUGGGUAGCAAACAGG
Molecule: ribosomal RNA, 403 nt
Filed under: bacterium
Lineage: Bacteria
Description: partial 16S ribosomal RNA
Rfam family: Bacterial small subunit ribosomal RNA
Source: RNAcentral